UACAGAGGGGGCAAGCGUUGUUCGGAAUUACUGGGCGUAAAGGGCGCGUAGGCGGCACGGCAAGUCGGGAGUGAAAGCCCGGGGCUCAACCCCGGAGGGUCUCUCGAAACUGCCGAGCUAGAGUGCGGAAGAGGCAAUCGGAAUUCCCAGUGUAGCGGUGAAAUGCGUAGAUAUUGGGAAGAACACCGGAGGCGAAGGCGGAUUGCUGGGCCGACACUGACGCUGAGGCGCGAAAGCGUGGGGAGCGAACAGG
This 253-nucleotide ribosomal RNA is filed under the name uncultured bacterium. Its description in RNAcentral is "partial 16S ribosomal RNA". It matches the Rfam family "Bacterial small subunit ribosomal RNA", at positions 524 to 776 of the family's 1533-position model. The record is from RNAcentral.